UAACAAGGAUUCCCAAAGUAACGGCGAGUGAACUGGGRAAAGCCCAACGCUGAAUCUUUCGAUUUUAUAUCGUGAAGAAAUGUAGCGUAUAGGUAUGAUUGUCGGUUUGUUUAGCAUGUCCAAAGUUCCUUUGAUAGGGACCAUAUUCCGGAGAGGGUGCGAGACCUGUGCGGACAGUUGAACAUACCGUAUGGUUAUACCGUAGAGUCGGGUUGCUUGAAAGUGCAGCCUUAAGUGGGUGAUAAACUUCAUCUAAGGCUAAAUACGAACGCGAAUUCGAUAGCAAACAAGUACUGUGAAGGAAAGUUGCAAAGAACUUUGAAGAGAGAGUUCAAGAGAACGUGAAAUCGUUGAAGUGGAACCGGAGAGAAUUGACGUAGUCUGGUGGAUAAGUAUUGCAAGAAUCGUAUUCAUAUAUAUAUAUAUAUAUGAAUGUGAUCAAGUAAUAUGUAUACCAUCAAUGACUGUGCUGACAGUAUCGGUUACACGAUCUGAACCCGUGUUGACAUGUUGCUCAUUCUAUUCUAUAGAAUGGUGUCUUGUGUUAUGUGGUAAGGUUUGUUGUUAGCUGAUAUUGAUUAAUGAUAAUUAUUUUUAAAUAAUUAUUAUGUCAGCAUAGAAGUCAACCACCUCUCCGACCCGUCUUGAAACACGGACCGAGGAGUGUAAUUUGUACGCAAGUGAAUAGGUGAAAAACCUUAAGGCGAAAUGAAAGUGAAGGCACGGUUAACCGGCUGACAUGGGAAACGUUCGUAUGCAUAUAUUUGGCGAAACGUCACACCAUGGCCCUGUCUUGUCUGCGUGCAGAUGGGCAGCGGUAGAGCGUACAGGUUGCGACCCGAAAGAUGGUGAACUAUGCCUGAGCAGGACGAAGUCAGAGGAAACUCUGAUGGAAGUCCGUAUCGGUUCUGACGUGCAAAUCGAUCGAUAGACUUAGGUAUAGGGGCGAAAGACUAAUCGAACCAUCUAGUAGCUGGUUCCCUCCGAAGUUUCCC
This 995-nucleotide ribosomal RNA is filed under the name Angiostrongylus vasorum (French heartworm). RNAcentral's name for it is "partial large subunit ribosomal RNA". Lineage: Eukaryota; Metazoa; Nematoda; Chromadorea; Rhabditida; Metastrongylidae. The record is from RNAcentral.